GUGGAGAAUUAAAACCACAGACAACCAGAAGCUCAGGGUCACAUUUGCAGAUUGAAUCGAGGCUCCUUAAAGCAGUUAUCCAAUCUGUCUUGGUCUCCCCAAUGUAGAAGAGAGCAACAGAUCGUGAGCAACAAAUACGUGGAAGCUUUCUCUAGGCACCUGAAAGUGUUUACUGGCCUGGACUUUGCAGUGAGUGGUGGAGCAACGACACUUGCCACUAACCUCAAAGAAAGCCUCGUUGAAAGAUCUAGUGAUCUCUAUAGCAAGAACUUUCUCUCUUCUCACCAUGCAGCUGAUUGCAAUGUUCUUCAAUGAAGAUUCCCAGCAUGGAGCUGCAGUGAUACCAUCAAACUGUACAUGCAGCCAAUCACACUAAAAAAUUUUCACAGAUAGCCAACCAGAAAAUGAAAAGCUGGAAGAAUGAAUCACCUUUAAACUUGCAUAGGACAAAAAAAAGAUUGGGAUAUAUAUAUGGGGUUAAGGUAGAAGUUGUGUUAUGAUCUUGAAGAGAUCAGUAACUAUUAAAAGGAAUUCAAACUCCCAGUUAUUAACUAAAAUAAUUACGUCACAGGGUUUCAGGUUUUAAACAAAAACUUUGACUGUCCGAGUUAAACGAGGCAAGUACUACUAACUUAACAAUACAUUUUGUAAUUAGUUAUUCUUUAAGUCCGAACAUCGCAAUAGGACAUUUCCUGUUCUAUUUUUAUUUCCACCCAAGUAUUCCCUAUACUUUAGGGUGUGCCAUAGCUCUCAGAAAUUCACUCUUCAGUGUUCCUGCUAUUCUCCGAGGUAUGAGAUUUCUUGGGGUCCCUCCACCAGCACCUGGCUUGGCGACCCUCCAUCUCUCCUUAAGCACCUUAUAAUUGUGGACAUCCCAGCUCAAACAUGGGUCUCACUACUCUUGCUCAAUGACUUCAAAAUCAGAAACACCUUUGGUUACUGAUAGCCCUUUGCUAGAGGUCUCAGCUGCUUCCAAGCACCAACUGCUGGCAGCAUUCUCUCCCUGCCUGUUUCCAAGCAGUUCCACUAUUUCUCUGAGAAAUCACAGAGCUAAGGCCAAAUCAAAAGGGCAUCUCCCUGCAACUAUCCCCAUAGCAACUUGGAACACCUGGGAUGUCCCAGAUAGAGAUUCAAACUAAUUAUUUCCAAUUCCCAAGCUUUCCCUUUGUUUUAGGAAACCCUAUGAAUAAUUUAAAUCCCUCAUGAAGACACUGUAGACAUGUUAUCUCCACCAGAAAACACUGAAAGGGGCCACCUAUUGUUUAAUGUUUUCCUACUUCCAACUCUGACCUUAUUAAAUAAUGACAGGCCAUCCUUUGAAUUGCAAUUACUUUAGGUGUGUUUACCAGCCUCUUACAGUUUUAAAAAAUUUAUCUUACAUUUAAAAGUUUCAUUCCCCAAACUAAAAGUUAUACUCCUAAAACAAAUGAACCAUUAAAUUAGACAAGAGUUGAAAUAUCAUCAAAAAGGUUUAUAAAAAAUUAUUUUAAAAAUUUAGUUUAAAAAAUCCUAGUAAUUUAUCACAAUUUACAUCCUCCAUAAAUAUAAAAUACAUUUUUCAGGGCCAGAUUUGUUGUCCAGCAAUAGUUGGUACAGCUCACUUUGAACAAUGUGUAACUUUUUAUGAGGGUUCUAACAGAUAUGAGAGUGGAAAAGGUGGAGCAGGUUCAAAAGGUAGAAUGGUCUACUCCUCCUAGCUUCAAUGUUUCUAUGAUACUCUACAAUUGAGUUUGCAACCUGGUUUCCUGUCACUCCCGCAACAUCAACAGUGGUUGACUGGCAAAUGUACCCUCACAGGUAUUGUGCCACCUUGGAAGUGUUAGCAAACAGACAGACUAAAUUUAGCUUAGGUGUUUUUUAAAAUUUUCAUAUGUUGCCUCAGAAUUCAUGUGUCAAGUCUGACAUUUCAUUUGUUCUUGUUUUAAGGAAACUAGGUGGAGUUUUUAAUAGUGCCUUUAGUACAAAAAGUAACAAGGCUAUAUAGGUCAGAUAUAAUUAUCAAAACUAUGCAAUAGAAAAAUUAAAUAACUCAAAGUAAUGGAUCAAGCCAUGUGUGCUCUGUGGAGCCCUACAGCAAUGAAUCCCUGUUUUAAAUUUUUAUUCUAUUAAUGGACACAAACUGUGACUUGGGUCUAGUAUAUAAGGGCUUAUUUUAAAAAUAUGUGCUACCAGGAGUCAGUCUUGUCUGUCGGUCAAGUAUCGAUAGUGGGGACAUGGCUCAGAUUUGGACAGGACCGGAAACCGUAAUAUUUUUGAUCAUAGCAUUUUCAUAAAUAUGGAGACAAAGAAGCAGAGUGAGUUGGCAAUGUUAAUGAAGGAUUAUAUCACAGCAGAAGAUUGUUGUAGCGGUUUGUGUUAAGAGGGAAAGAGAAAUGGUACAAUCCUUGGUGUGCAUUAAAGAAGUAGCAUGAUUUUUUGAGGUAACUGUAGUCAAGGAAUAGGAGGUGAACUAGGUGCUCGAAUAGUGAUGUCAAGUAUCUCCAGGAGGCAGGAGCUGCCUGCCUGGUGCCAGCAGCAAAAACAGGCAGCAUCCAUGAUGGGGUCUGCUGCUGACUUGUUGAUUAGGGCAGGCAGCAUUUAAUCGAAAGAAAGUGGCUAUGCUAUCAAAAUAAAAGUCAUGCGCACAUGCCAGAGCAAAAAUCUCCAUGCACAAAUACUAUUUAUCCAAUAUACAAACUUUCAUGUCUCCUCAUUUUGAAAGUGACAGCUGUGCACUAACGUGCACCAGACUGUUCUGGUUUGCCAGAAUCCCAUUAGAAAAUUGCAGCCCCCAUUUCCCUGACCUUUUAACAAGCUCCUAAAGGAGUUUAGUGGGUCGUUAAUUGGAGGCAAGCUGAUUCCCCAUUCCCGAAUACUAUGCAAUGAGAGUUGAGAAAAAGGCAUCAUCAUUUAUUUAUGACAUAAUACAAAAAGGCAGUUUCUUAAACCAAGCUUGUGAAGUACUCUAAGGUUAAAUUCUGCUAUAUGUUGGCCUUUUCAGUCAGAAUCAAAACCCAUAGAGACUCGCUUAAACUGCAUCAAUUGAUUUUAUUAAUAGGUUAACAACCUUCUUAUACAAUGUUGUGAUUAAUUGAAGCUGACCGCAGCUAAGACUAGAGCUUCAGCAAAUUGGUUGUUAUCUUUAUUCAUAAGCUUGGAACAAAUGCAUCAAGACAGUGAUUUUAUCUCCUAAACAAAGUGGUGCAGCAUUUGAAAAGACUGGGAAUAAGUAAUAAACCUCAGGUCCUAUGUUUCUGAAAAAAACUGACCAGCAGAAAAGGGACUUUUCAUCAAUGAUACAAAGUUAUCCAACUGCACAUCAGAAAUGAGAGUAUGUAUUGUAUCUGCCAAAGAGGUUUAGCAAUUCAGUUUGAAAUAUAUUGCAUAAUAUUGAUUCAUAUGGUGCCCAACCCUGAUGCAAUCAAAUUGAGUAAAAGUUCAAAAAUUA
Long non-coding RNA from Carcharodon carcharias (great white shark), 3427 nucleotides. RefSeq lists it as uncharacterized. The transcript has 2 exons. NCBI's taxonomy places the organism in Eukaryota, Metazoa, Chordata, Chondrichthyes, Lamniformes, Lamnidae. The record is from RefSeq and is a predicted model, not a curated record.